Triticum aestivum (bread wheat) is the source of this 1637-nucleotide long non-coding RNA. RefSeq lists it as uncharacterized. The transcript has 2 exons. The record is from RefSeq and is a predicted model, not a curated record. Lineage: Eukaryota; Viridiplantae; Streptophyta; Magnoliopsida; Poales; Poaceae.
ACCUGCUUAUUCUGCUAACACCUCCGUACCAAAACAAAGCAUCGCCGGGACUAAAAAGAACCCACACCCACCGGCCCAGCCAUUCUCUCUCCCCUUCCCACCUCCAGCCCACCUACCCAUCUCUCUUCUCACAGCCUGAUCCACUCUCUCGCCGUGCCCACAGGCCACCGGCGGCGGCGUGCCCAACCACAACCCGCCUCCUCUCCUCAAGCCGUCGGACGCCUUCUCCCUCCCCAACGCCGCCCUCCGCCACCUCCCUUCCCUGCCGGCGCCCGGCAAAGCCACCGCCCGCUCCCAACCUUCUUGCCCCUGGGCGCAUCGCCGCCUGCGCCCAGCCUCCUGACCCUCGACCGCGUCGCCGCCUGCGCCCAGUCUCCUGGCCUCCGGCCGCCGCCUGCAUUCACCCUCCCGGCCACAGGCCACGGUGCCCGCGCCCAACCUCCUGGAUCUGAGCUGAUGAGGUCAAGGAGUGCUGGCUGCCCACGUUCGGAUCCCAUUGAUGCGCGGCCGCCCAUGUACAACAACGCCACGCGCCGAUCCGCAGGAUCCGUCGAUUCCUGCCUUCGCUGACCACGUCCAGGGCCGCCCGAUGCGCAGAUCCAAGGCCCCUUGGGGGCGGCCGCCCUAGUGCCAAGCCACGCCCCCUAGAGAGCUCCUCAUCGUGGAUUCCCCUCCCUGGAUCUCUCUCGUUGUCCCCUGCCUCGGGCACUACUGCCACUCUGAUCCCGCGGGUGCUCUUCCCCCUAUCUUCACCGUCGUGGCGCUCGAGCACAGUAGAGAUAGUGGUGGCGACCUUCUGCCAGCUACCCUCUUGCUUGGGAUUCCAUGGUGAUGAAGACGUGCAGUGCAGCCGGAUCCCAUGAGCAGUGCGCCCGGCGCCCUCGUGUGGUUCAUCCACUGCCACCGGGGAUUCCCUCCCUUCCCUAACCUCUCUACACAACAGACGAGCUGCUCUUUUGUCGCUCAUGGGCGCGCGCCUGACGGGGCUGCUACUAGUCCGAGCUACCACCACCUCUCAUCCCGACGACAACUACCUAUGUUUCGAGAUGCCUCACCUUGAGCUCAGUCUGGGUGUCUGUGGUGCAGUCCAGCCACAGUGGACAUGUAGUUCCGUGCUCGUGUUGGUGGAGGUCAUGGGCGCACCAGCGACGACGACAGCAACACCUUGAUCUCCGGCAUAGUUUGUGGACUGCAGGUUUAAUGCAAUGUUUGCUGAGUUCAAUGCAAUGUCAGGGUGUGGAGUGCAGGUUCUUUGAGUGGCAUGAUGAUCCAAAUACUUCAUUUCUGAAUUCGCUGCUCAAUAAAUUGCGUGAUACUAUGUAUUGUCUGAAAACAGAGAAGAAACAGUUGGAGGAAUCUCGAAUCCAAGUUGAAGCUCGCAUGAACAAGGCUAUAGAUGUGGAGAUGGGCACGCGACAGAAGUAGAAGAAAUUCAUAUGAAAUUGGAAAGAUUUAGAGAGAUGUAUCAGUCUAUUGAGAAAGAUGUGCCAGUAUGUCCAGACAUAUUUGUAUGUUCAGAAAAUUGAAUAAUUUAGAAAUGUUUGUGGAGUUCAAAAACUUGUAUGUUACAUUGUUACUGCUUGUUUGUAAGCAACUCAUUUUGUCCAAUACUAGGUGUUUUUAAGCAAUUUCAUUUA